GUUUUAGAACAUCAGUGGCCAACGGUCGUCAGGAUCGUUGAGCUGCAUUGGCGGGAUUUCGCCGUCUACGUUUCUCUUUCUUCGCGGACGAACACGCGCUGGGCCUGUAUGCGCAGGAUCCCUGGUCCUUGACGGGAUAUGCGUUAGGGGCUUGUAGCUCAGUUGGUUAGAGCGCGCGCUUGAUAAGCGUGAGGUCGGAAGUUCAAGUCUUCCCAGGCCCACCACACUCAUCGGGUAAGCAUUCGUCUUCUGGUUACGGGGCCAUAGCUCAGCUGGGAGAGCGCGUGCUUUGCAAGCAUGAGGUCGUCGGUUCGAUCCCGUCUGGCUCCACCAGAUGGUUUGAUUGCCGACACGCUGUGCAUCUAAAUCGUCCGCGAAACAUCACUUCGCAUCCUGCUAGUCUGGAUAGACAGCUGGUUGCGUGAUUUCUGACAUCGUAAAGAGGAGAUCGAUCCGAGUUGGAUCGUGCAGAGAAUAUCUGCGCGAGACUUCAUUAUCUCCGGAUCAUUUCGGCGCUCGUGCAUCCUUCAAGGUCAAGCUUGAAAGACAUGCGAGUUGUAAAUGAUCCUUUUAGCGAAGCUUGACCGCCUCGCUAUCGGAACGAUCUUACGAAGCAAGCUGGUCUUUCUAAUCAUUGUCCGGCUGCAGAUAGCGUUCAUCGAGGGCGCGUGCCGCAAGGUAGUUCUGCAGACAACAUUCUGCCGAGUGUGUGGACAUUGAUAAUGAGAGCAAUCAAGGCCUAAGGGUGUUCGGUG
RNAcentral lists this transfer RNA (755 nucleotides) under Bradyrhizobium sp. BLUT2. RNAcentral describes it as "partial contains 16S-23S ribosomal RNA intergenic spacer and 23S ribosomal RNA". The stretch from base 148 to 221 matches the Rfam family "tRNA". The record is from RNAcentral. Lineage: Bacteria; Pseudomonadati; Pseudomonadota; Alphaproteobacteria; Hyphomicrobiales; Nitrobacteraceae.